This 207-nucleotide ribosomal RNA is filed under the name Escherichia coli. RNAcentral's name for it is "partial 16S ribosomal RNA". It matches the Rfam family "Bacterial small subunit ribosomal RNA", at positions 1 to 215 of the family's 1533-position model. Lineage: Bacteria; Pseudomonadati; Pseudomonadota; Gammaproteobacteria; Enterobacterales; Enterobacteriaceae. The record is from RNAcentral.
AAAUUGAAGAGUUUGAUCAUGGCUCAGAUUGAACGCUGGUGGCAGGCCUAACACAUGCAAGUCGAACGGUAACAGGAAGCAGCUUGCUGCUUCGCUGACGAGUGGCGGACGGGUGAGUAAUGUCUGGGAAACUGCCUGAUGGAGGGGGAUAACUACUGGAAACGGUAGCUAAUACCGCAUAAUGUCGCAAGACCAAAGAGGGGGACC